CUCCAUCAAUAGUUCAUGCAUUAUGGGGAAAAAAUCCUCCAGAAGUAAAUCUCUGAUAUCCAAAAAUAUGGACGUUUUCGAUCUGAGUAUUCAUCCGUUACGGAAAAUAAACCCAUUAAGAGCACAAUUGUUAAUUCUUCUCCAUCGAUUGUGAUACAGUAUAUCUCUCUUUUUCUCUAAUCCCUCAUUUGUUUUUUUAUUCUUUUUUUUAUUAUGUUAGGUUAAACUAAAAAAAAAGAUUUUGAUAAUAGGUUUGUUUCUGAUUGUGGUUUCGUUUUGAAUUUCCAUUUGGUGUUUCUUAUUUUAGAAAUCAUUUGGGUGGGAUUUCAACAUGUGCUUACUAGAAAAGUUGAUUGAUCAGGUUUCUUUUUGUAAUAGACAUUUGUAUUUGUGUUGUAUCUUCUCCUGCUUCUACGUAUACUAUCCCCAUGUAUUCUACUUUAAAUCAUUCUACAAUGUAAUUGUUAUAUUUGCAUAUUUGGAUUCAUCAUAUCAAGAUUGUACUUAUUUCAUUAGAUAAAUCUCAUUGGAAAGGAAUCGAAUUAACAUGUGAUCUAUUGAGGAUCUCGGAAGCAAAGAAGAUCUGAAUCGAUUCUCUCCUUUUGAUGAUUAAGGCUUCUCCGUUUUUGCAGCACACAAUCAAGCUAUUUCAGGUUGGAUUCCUCAAUGUUGGGACCAUUGUUACCAUACCAUAUGGUGCAACCUUGGGAGCAAAAAAUUUCUACUUAGAAAAGAUAUGAAACCAUCAGCUGAGUUGGAGGAGAACAAUUCGAUUCAAAUAAAAUCUUUAUGAAAAGAAGUCGAGGAAAACAAAAUUGGAAACUGUUUGCAUCACCAAUCUUUCUUUUCAUGUUUCAUUUUAUAAUACCUUACUGCUGUGGACCAAUAUAUUUUUAACUUUUGGGGAGCUAUUUUUCACCACAGUAGCAUCAAAUGUGGGUUAUCUUUUUGGUUGGUAUGUAACAACUUCUCAGCUGAAAUGUCCAUAGCUGGGACGGUCAUCGAUAUAGAAGUUCAAUUGCUACAACUGGUUAACCACUUUGAAAGGAAAUCAAUUACCAUGCAUGGGCCUUGUAAUAAAUCGAAUUGGAUAUACGAAUGUGCGAGUAUAGUUCUUAUAGACUUCAAUGGAAUCGUAAAAGUUCUUUUCCAUUCUAAUUGUGGCUUCUGUAUCAAAAGAUUUUGGAAACAA
Papaver somniferum (opium poppy) is the source of this 1192-nucleotide long non-coding RNA. RefSeq lists it as uncharacterized. The record is from RefSeq and is a predicted model, not a curated record. Lineage: Eukaryota; Viridiplantae; Streptophyta; Magnoliopsida; Ranunculales; Papaveraceae. The transcript has 4 exons.